RNAcentral lists this ribosomal RNA (253 nucleotides) under uncultured bacterium. Its description in RNAcentral is "partial 16S ribosomal RNA". It matches the Rfam family "Bacterial small subunit ribosomal RNA", at positions 524 to 776 of the family's 1533-position model. The record is from RNAcentral.
UACGAAGGGGGCUAGCGUUGUUCGGAAUUACUGGGCGUAAAGCGCGCGCAGGCGGCUAUCCAAGUCAGUGGUGAAAGCCCGGAGCUCAACUCCGGAACUGCCAUUGAAACUGUUUAGCUUGAGGAUGAGAGAGGUGAGUGGAAUUCCCAGUGUAGAGGUGAAAUUCGUAGAUAUUGGGAAGAACACCGGUGGCGAAGGCGGCUCACUGGCCCGUUACUGACGCUCAGGCGCGACAGCGUGGGGAUCAAACAGG